UGCCAGUGAUAAACUGGAGGAAGGUGGGGAUGACGUCAAGUCAUCAUGGCCCUUACGACCAGGGCUACACACGUGCUACAAUGGCAUAUACAAAGAGAAGCGACCUCGCGAGAGCAAGCGGACCUCAUAAAGUAUGUCGUAGUCCGGAUUGGAGUCUGCAACUCGACUCCAUGAAGUCGGAAUCGCUAGUAAUCGUAGAUCAGAAUGCUACGGUGAAUACGUUCCCGGGCCUUGUACACACCGCCCGUCACACCAUG
Molecule: ribosomal RNA, 257 nt
Filed under: Klebsiella pneumoniae
Lineage: Bacteria; Pseudomonadati; Pseudomonadota; Gammaproteobacteria; Enterobacterales; Enterobacteriaceae
Description: partial 16S ribosomal RNA
Rfam family: Bacterial small subunit ribosomal RNA
Source: RNAcentral